RNAcentral lists this ribosomal RNA (1539 nucleotides) under metagenome. Its description in RNAcentral is "bacterial SSU rRNA". It matches the Rfam family "Bacterial small subunit ribosomal RNA". The record is from RNAcentral.
AGAGUUUGAUUCUGGCUCAGAACGAACGCUGGCAGCGUGGAUUAGGCAUGCAAGUCGAACGGGAACUCCGGGUGUAGCAAUACAUCCGGGGGGAUAGUGGCGUAAGGGUGAGUAACGCGUGGGCAAUCUACCUUUAAGUUGGGGAUAACCUGGCGAAAGCUGGGCUAAUACCGAAUGUGGUCACCUGACGCGAGUCGGGAUGACUGAAGGCGGGGAUCUCGCAAGGGACCUGUCGCUUGAAGAGGAGCCCGCGUCCUAUCAGCUAGUUGGUGAGGUAACGGCUCACCAAGGCUAUGACGGGUAGCUGGUCUGAGAGGAUGGUCAGCCACAUUGGGACUGAGAUACUGCCCAGACUCCUACGGGAGGCUGCAGUCGAGGAUCAUUCGCAAUGCGCGAAAGCGUGACGAUGCGACGCUGCGUGGAGGAUGAAGGCCUUCGGGUCGUAAACUCCUGUCAUUCGGGAUCAAUGCCACGGAAGUGAACAAUUUCCGUGGAGGGAUAGUACCGGAAGGGGAAGUCACGGCUAACUCUGUGCCAGCAGCCGCGGUAAUACAGAGGUGGCAAGCGUUGUUCGGAUUUACUGGGCGUAAAGGGUGCGUAGGCGGUUUUGCGUGUCGGAUGUGAAAUUCUGCCGCUCAAGGGCAGAGCUGCGUUCGAAACUACAGAACUGGAGUGCAGGAGAGGAAAGCGGAAUUCUUGGUGUAGCGGUGGAAUGCGUUGAUAUCAAGAGGAACACCGGUGGCGAAGGCGGCUCUCUGGAACGCAACUGACGCUGAGGCACGAAAGUUGGGGGAGCAAACAGGAUUAGAUACCCUGGUAGUCCCAACUGUAAACGGUGCACACUGGGUGUGGGGAGAUUUGACCCUCUCCGCGCCGUAGUUAACACGAUAAGUGUGCUGCCUGGGGAGUACGGCCGCAAGGCUAAAACUCAAAGAAAUUGACGGGGGCCCGCACAAGCGGAGGAGCAUGUGGCUCAAUUCGAUGCAACGCGAAGAACCUUACCAGGGCUUGACAUGCAGCUGCAAGUCCAGCGAAAGCUGGAUUCCUUCGAGGGUGCUGCACAGGUGCUGCAUGGCUGUCGUCAGUUCGUGCCGUGAGGUGUUGGGUUAAGUCCCGCAACGAACGCAACCCUUGUGUCUAGUUGCCACCCCCGAUGAUGAGUCGGGGAGCACUCAAGACAGACUGCCCGUGUAAGCGGGAGGAAGGUGGGGAUGACGUCAAGUCAGUAUGGCCUUUAUGCCCUGGGCUGCACACGUGCUACAAUGGCUGGUACAAUGGGAAGCUCGACCGCGAGGUUAGGCGGAUCCACAAAACCAGCCCCAGUUCAGAUUGAAGGCUGCAAUUCGCCUUCAUGAAGCUGGAUUCGCUAGUAAUGGCGCAUCAGCUACGGCGCCGUGAAUACGUUCCCGGGCCUUGUACACACCGCCCGUCACAUCAUGAAAACCUUGUGCACUCAAAGGCGCUGUACCAACUCGCAUAACAGUGAGAGGAAGGCACCAAAGGUGUGUGGGGUAAUUGGGAUGAAGUCGUAACAAGGUA